This 329-nucleotide unclassified non-coding RNA is filed under the name plant metagenome. RNAcentral describes it as "partial contains 5.8S ribosomal RNA, internal transcribed spacer 2, and large subunit ribosomal RNA". The stretch from base 1 to 105 matches the Rfam family "5.8S ribosomal RNA", at positions 50 to 154 of the family's 154-position model. The record is from RNAcentral.
GAAAUGCGAUAAGUAAUGUGAAUUGCAGAAUUCCGUGAAUCAUCGAAUCUUUGAACGCACAUUGCGCCCUCUGGUAUUCCGGGGGGCAUGCCUGUCCGAGCGUCAUUGCGAACCCCUCAAGCACGGCUUGUGUGAUGGGCCCUCCCGCGUCUUGGUCGUCAAGACGGGCCCGAAAUGCAGUGGCGGCUUCGCGGUUAUCAGAUCAGCCAGAGCGUAUGGGGACUUUCUCUCUGUCACACGCCCGCGGCGCGGACCGACGCCUGUCGACCUUCAUUCAUCGUUUUCUCGGUUGACCUCGGAUCAGGUAGGGAUACCCGCUGAACUUAAGC